GGGGCCUUAGUUUAAUCGGUUAAAACAUUUGACUUUUAAUCAAUAUUUAUGAGUUCAAGUCUCAUAGGCCUCA
Non-coding RNA from Ascosphaera atra, 73 nucleotides. The record is from the annotation of a GenBank genome assembly. NCBI's taxonomy places the organism in Eukaryota, Fungi, Ascomycota, Eurotiomycetes, Onygenales, Ascosphaeraceae.